Molecule: ribosomal RNA, 492 nt
Filed under: uncultured bacterium
Lineage: Bacteria
Description: partial 16S ribosomal RNA
Rfam family: Bacterial small subunit ribosomal RNA
Source: RNAcentral
AGUGAACGCUGGCGGUAGGCCUAACACAUGCAAGUCGAACGGCAGCACAGUAAGAGCUUGCUCUUACGGGUGGCGAGUGGCGGACGGGUGAGGAAUACAUCGGAAUCUACUUUUUCGUGGGGGAUAACGUAGGGAAGCUUACGCUAAUACCGCAUACGACCUACGGGUGAAAGCAGGGGAUCUUCGGACCUUGCGCGAUUGAAUGAGCCGAUGUCGGAUUAGCUAGUUGGCGGGGUAAAGGCCCACCAAGGCGACGAUCCGUAGCUGGUCUGAGAGGAUGAUCAGCCACACUGGAACUGAGACACGGUCCAGACUCCUACGGGAGGCAGCAGUGGGGAAUAUUGGACAAUGGGCGCAAGCCUGAUCCAGCCAUACCGCGUGGGUGAAGAAGGCCUUCGGGUUGUAAAGCCCUUUUGUUGGGAAAGAAGAGCAGCAGGUUAAUACCCCGCUGUUCUGACGGUACCCAAAGAAUAAGCACCGGCUAACUUCGUG